AAAAAAAAAAAAGAAGAGCAAAGCAGAGCUCUGAGCAGCUUCCUGCCCUAGCAUCCCUGGUUCAGCUGCUUUCUUCUUCCCAGGCAGCCGUGUCACCCAGAGCUGCAGCUGAGAUGGGUGCCAUCUCCCUGGGUUGCUUCUGCAGAGGAGGCCUCUCCUCCCCAGUGGAGCCUCCUUCCUGCUGGCUGUUGACUGAGUGUCCAGCUGAGGACACCAUCCCUGCAGUGCAUUUCUUGCUCACUGAUGUGAUGUGUUCAUGACUCCCAGCCUCUCUCUGUUUGCUCUGCCGCUAAUACAGGGAGGUGCCGCAGCCUCUGGGCCCCUGCAGCUGUGGCAGUGGAUGGUGCUGUUUUGUAUUCCUUAAUUUGUGCAGCACCAGCUGCGUGCAGGCACUGUGCUUGGCACCAGGGCUGUAAUAGGACCCAGAUAGAUGCGUGCCUGCCCUGGCCAGGCUCAUGCUCUGCAGAUGGGGUCAGAGGUCAACAUGCAGUAGAGCAAAAGACAGCAGAUGGGGUGCACGGGCAGGCUGUGGUUUUAUACAGGGCGAUCAGGGAGGCACCCCAGAGAAGGGAACACAGGCCUGCAGGAAAUGAGGUGUGGAGUGGACAGCAGGAAGGGCAGUCCAGGGGGCAGCGGGGCACAGGCCCGGUGUGUACAGGCCAGGAAAGAAAGGCAGGUGGCCGUGUGAAGCCGCAAGGGGUUGGGGGGAGUGGGGAGGCACUGGCCGGGUCUUGCUUCUUGCAGCAAAGCAUGCUUUGGGCCUACCCAGGUCCCUGUCACCUGGGGGCCCAGUGCCCCUACCUGCCCUGGAGGGACCGGCCCCACCAGCCAUCUGUUCCUUGCAGCUGUGCCAUAAGUAACGUGAAGAAGGUGUCCCUGGAACUGGGCGGGAAGUCACCCCUCAUCAUCUUUGCUGACUGUGACCUCAACAAGGCUGUGCAGAUGGGGAUGAGCUCUGUUUUCUUCAACAAAGGAGAGAACUGCAUUGCAGCAGGCCGGCUCUUUGUGGAGGACUCCAUUCAUGAUGAGUUUGUGCGGAGGGUGGUAGAAGAGGUACGGAAGAUGAAGGUGGGCGACCCACUGGACAGGGACACCGACCACGGGCCGCAGAAUCACCAUGCCCACCUGAUGAAGCUGAUGGAGUACUGCCAGCGUGGCGUGAAGGAAGGGGCCACACUGGUCUGCGGCGGGAAUCAAGUCCCUCGGCCAGGGUUCUUCUUUGAGCCAACUGUUUUCACAGAUGUGGAGGACCACAUGUUCAUAGCCAAGGAGGAGUCCUUCGGGCCUGUCAUGAUCAUCUCUCGGUUUGCUGAUGGGGACGUGGAUACUGUGCUGUCUCGGGCCAAUGCCACGGAAUUUGGCCUGGCUUCUGGUGUCUUCACCAGGGACAUCAACAAGGCCCUAUAUGUCAGUGACAAGCUCCAGGCAGGCACUGUGUUUGUCAACACGUACAACAAGACCGACGUGGCCGCUCCCUUCGGAGGAUUCAAGCAGUCUGGAUUUGGCAAAGAUCUAGGUAACCUACUCCUGCCUGUGGGGUUGCUUUCAUUUAUUCAUUCAACAAACAUCUGUUCAAAACCACUUAGUGUCAGGUCCUAUCCCAGAUGCAGGGACGUAGCCUUGAACAUGAUGGCUGUCAGGGCUCGCUUCUUACUGGGAGGGAACUUGUGACAAGUCCGUGAGCAAGUUGCUUGCAGAGGGGGGUGGUGCUGGGAAGAAGGCAAGAAGAGUGGCCUGGAGGAGACACUCCGGCCAGGAGGCAGUGGGGGCCUCUCUGGUGUGGUGGCACCUGUGCUACCCAGACCUACAUGGCAGAGAGGAGUUGGCCGUGAAGACCCAGGAGCCUGUGUUUCUGGCUGAGGCUUCAGCAGGUCCUUGGGGUAACAGCUUUGGUUGUGGAGCUGCAGAGAGGCUAGAGUGGUGGGAGUGGGCCAAGGGGGAGCAGGAGGGAGGAGAGGAGGCCUGAGAGGCAGGUAGGGGCCAGAUUGAAGGCCCAUGGGCCAUGGUCAGGGGCUCAGGUUGCGUCCUUAGUGUAAAGAGGAGCCAUGGGACCAAAUGUACCCCCGGGUGAACACCACGGGUGUUGCAAGUCUCCCAGUAGAGAUGAAGUUACUGAGGCGGCAGCAGGCGGGGUCCCCCAGCACACAGCACAGGCCCCCCCCCCCCAGUGCUCUGCCUGCUGGGUGGUGUGGAGUUCUGCUCUGGCCCUCUCUCCCUGGGCUGCUCCCAGCCUUGGGCCUCGUCCUGCUCUCUCAGCAGGGGGGACUAGACAGGUCUGAUGGGCAAGCUUGGCAAGGGUGGCUGGCAAGGCCCAGGGAAGCUGUAUGCUGUCUCAGAGGUCCCACCUGUCUCUCCAGGCUCCUGUGCCAGCCCAGAGACCACAGGGAAGGUCAUGCUGAGGCUGGGGCUCAAAGGGUGGUCACUGUUUCCAGUUUUCUCUCCUCCCCCUGCCCCCAUCUUUCAAGCCCUGCAGAAGCCCCCAAGGGUGCCUGUGAGAGGAGCCCAUGUGUGCCCACAGGGCUGGACUCACAUGCAUACAUGUGUAGGCUGGACACUCCUGCUUCCUCUGUCCCUGUCGGCCUCCUCUUCCUGCCUUCUCCCAGGCCACCUUCCUGGUGUCCACCAGGGGAAUCCAUGAGGCCCAUGGCCACCCAGGGAAGGCUGUGGCUGCCAAGUCCCCAGGACGUGAUCUGGGCCCCUUAUGAAUCCUCCCUGAGUUCCCCCAGCUCCCUCCCAACCCUAGUCCCCAUAUCCUGCUGAGAGGACCAGCACCCUCCUGGGACAGGCCCACAAGCCAAGCCUUCCAAGCAGCCUGCCUGGGCAGGCCCAGGACCUCAGAGGGAUGGGGCAAUGCCACUCCUGGGGCCAGCCAGAGCUGCUGGGGAGCUGUCAGGCAGCCCCAGGCCUCACACUUGCCAUGGGGCUGAGACGCACCAGCCACAUAGCACUGCCAAGGUCUGGGGCCUCAGGGCCCCUGCGAGGCAUCCCCUUUUCCCAGCCACAGCUUGAUGCAGACGUAGCUGGGGGCAGCCAUGAGAGAAGAGAUGGGCCAGUGAGUCCGGGCAGUAACGCCAUGUCUCUCCACCCACUUCCACCUGAAGGGGCUUCCCACUGUCCAGACAAGGCGGUGGGAGCCGGGGAAGAUUCUUAAAUGGCUGCCUCAGAUUGGCUUUGUAUUCUGGGGAGUCCUGGCCCACUAUCCACUGCCAGGGAUAACCUGGGUAAGAUACAUGACCUCGCUGGGCCUCGACUUCUCACCUGGAAGUGGGGUGAGCCAGAGCUGCCCCCACGCAGUUGCUGAGGAAUAAGACACUUGCAGCCCCGAGCAGUGCCCUGCCUGUGGUGGGAGCUGCUGUGACCUUUGUGGUGUCUCACAGGAGAGGCGGCUCUGAACGAGUACCUGCGGGUCAAGACAGUGACCUUCGAAUACUGAAGAAAGGUCUUUGUGAGAAGAAAGUCCCUGCCCUUCCCUCGUGGCUGGGGCCCCCUCCCUCUUGAGCCUGGGUGCACAGCACCUCCCACCUAGGGGGCUAGUGGAAGCCCUCCUGCCUGCACCCCAUGUCUGCAUCUCGGACGCCCUCUGUCCAGUCAGAAGCAGCCCUUGGCUGGGUGAGGUGUGCCCCUCCCAGGGAGAAUAAAGCUUCUGAAGAG
RNAcentral lists this small RNA (3651 nucleotides) under Pongo abelii (Sumatran orangutan). RNAcentral's name for it is "retained intron". Lineage: Eukaryota; Metazoa; Chordata; Mammalia; Primates; Hominidae. The record is from RNAcentral.